This 492-nucleotide ribosomal RNA is filed under the name uncultured bacterium. RNAcentral's name for it is "partial 16S ribosomal RNA". It matches the Rfam family "Bacterial small subunit ribosomal RNA", at positions 29 to 507 of the family's 1533-position model. The record is from RNAcentral.
AGUGAACGCUGGCGGUAGGCCUAACACAUGCAAGUCGAACGGCAGCACAGUAAGAGCUUGCUCUUACGGGUGGCGAGUGGCGGACGGGUGAGGAAUACAUCGGAAUCUACUUUUUCGUGGGGGAUAACGUAGGGAAACUUACGCUAAUACCGCAUACGACCUACGGGUGAAAGCAGGGGAUCUUCGGACCUUGCGCGAUUGAAUGAGCCGAUGUCGGAUUAGCUAGUUGGCGGGGUAAAGGCCCACCAAGGCGACGAUCCGUAGCUGGCCUGAGAGGAUGAUAAGACACACUGGAACUGAGACACGGUCCAGACUCCUACGGGAGGCAGCAGUGGGGAAUAUUGGACAAUGGGCGCAAGCCUGAUCCAGCCAUACCGCGUGGGUGAAGAAGGCCUUCGGGUUGUAAAGCCCUUUUGUUGGGAAAGAAAAGCAGCAGGUUAAUACCCCGCUGUUCUGACGGUACCCAAAGAAUAAGCACCGGCUAACUUCGUG